UCCUCGGUGGCUCAGAUGGAUAGAGCGUCUGCCAUGUGAGCAGGGGAUCCCGGGUUCGAGUCCCGGUCGGGGCA
This 74-nucleotide transfer RNA is filed under the name Schistocerca americana (American grasshopper). Its description in RNAcentral is "tRNA-Thr". It matches the Rfam family "tRNA". From Rfam's summary of the family: Transfer RNA (tRNA) molecules are approximately 80 nucleotides in length. The record is from RNAcentral. Lineage: Eukaryota; Metazoa; Arthropoda; Insecta; Orthoptera; Acrididae.